GGGGAAGGCACUCUGCCUUUCCCUUUGAUCUGCAUCAACCAUGUAAAUCAACAUUCUCUUCCUUUCCCAGGACCUGAAGCCAAGAUGGGGUUUCACCAUGUUGACCAGAUAGUCUCAAACUCCCCACCUCAAGUGACAGGACCACAUCUGCCUCCCAAAGUGCUGGGAUUACAGUGCUGAAGAAUCAAGUUACAGAAAAUGCCGGACUUAGUAGUUAACUCAGGAGAACAGAAACCGAAGAAAACCUGGGAAAUGUAAGUGAAAUAUCUCGAUAUUUACUGUAAGUGUGAAGUAAAUGGAUGCGUUCAUCAGGAGCCAGCUAAAACAACCUACUUCCUGUGGCAAUUUUGAUUAUUGGAAAUUGCCAACAUACCACAA
This 378-nucleotide long non-coding RNA is filed under the name Callithrix jacchus (white-tufted-ear marmoset). RNAcentral's name for it is "lncRNA (ENSCJAG00000086013.1)". Lineage: Eukaryota; Metazoa; Chordata; Mammalia; Primates; Cebidae. The record is from RNAcentral.